AGAGUUUGAUCCUGGCUCAGGAUGAACGCUAGCUACAGGCUUAACACAUGCAAGUCGAGGGGAAACGACAUCGAAAGCUUGCUUUUGAUGGGCGUCGACCGGCGCACGGGUGAGUAACGCGUAUCCAACCUGCCCAUCACUUGGGGAUAACCUUGCGAAAGUAAGACUAAUACCCAAUGACGUCUCUAGAAGACAUCUGAAAGAGAUUAAAGAUUUUAUCGGUGAUGGAUGGGGAUGCGUCUGAUUAGCUUGUUGGCGGGGUAACGGCCGACCAAGGCGACGGAUCAGUAGGGGUUCUGGAGAGGAAGGUCCCCCACACUUGGAACUGAGACACGGUCCAAACGUCCUACGGGAGGCA
Molecule: ribosomal RNA, 358 nt
Filed under: uncultured bacterium
Lineage: Bacteria
Description: bacterial SSU rRNA
Rfam family: Bacterial small subunit ribosomal RNA
Source: RNAcentral